CAGUGGCAAGGGGUGAUUGGCUGCAUAUUGCCCCGCCUCUCCUCCCGCAUUGAGGCAGGGCCUGCCUGGCUCCCCAGAGCCCCCCAGGAAAGUUAGUUUGGUGGAGGGCAUAGCUGUCCAGAUCAAGUCCUUGCUGCCGCCAUGCAGAGAGGAGAGGAGCCCAAACCUUCUUGACCCAGGUCCAGUUUGUCUGUGGCUCUCUUACCUCCCGCAGUCCCCACCCCCACACCCCCUCGCCAUCGUGCAAGGUGGUGCGCAAUCCACCACAGGAGCGCAGCAAGGCACCUCACUGAGUACCCUGCUCUCCUUCACUAGGCAGCUUGUCACCCGCCCAAAGGGCACUUUUGCAGGGCUCCUUUUAUUCCCCUUCCCUCCUCCUAUCCGCAAUCGGAGCUCAGUGUUCUCUCGGCCUGGCAGCUUCUUCGUUUAUGCGGGAGGUGAGGUGAGCGCAGAGGCAGUGUGCGCUCCUGCCUGGACUCCUGCCCAGUCUUCUCCGCUGUCGGUCCGGGCUCCACUCGGCACAGCUUGCUCCUGUCCGCCUUCCGCAGGCGCAGGCAGCUCCUGGGGGGACCGCAUGCGUGCGCUCGCCACCACCGAGGCCGCCCUCCCGCCAGCGCCCGCGGUUGCUCGUGGGUGUACCUGGACCUUUUCUGAAGUGAGCAAGGAGCACGUGAUUCCAGCUGCUAUCUCUACCUGGAAAUGCAAUGCAUAUAUAAGAGCUGAGAAUACCAUCAUUUCCAUGAAGCAGUAAUAGGCCUGCAGGUCACACCUGGCUGGCUAGAAAAACGACCUAAUUGAAUGCGACGUGUAACCGAAUCUCUGCGGUAUAAGAGAACAGCUAUCUUCAUCACUGGCAAGGACCAUGUAAACAGAGGGAGCAGCUGAGAAUGCUGAGAUACACAGUGAGUCCUGUUGCUUCUGGGGUUAGCCAGCUCCCGCCUUCAUUAAAAUUUUGAUG
Molecule: long non-coding RNA, 958 nt
Filed under: Phascolarctos cinereus (koala)
Lineage: Eukaryota; Metazoa; Chordata; Mammalia; Diprotodontia; Phascolarctidae
Description: lncRNA (ENSPCIG00000037301.1)
Source: RNAcentral